Molecule: ribosomal RNA, 1912 nt
Filed under: Campylobacter coli
Lineage: Bacteria; Pseudomonadati; Campylobacterota; Epsilonproteobacteria; Campylobacterales; Campylobacteraceae
Description: partial 23S ribosomal RNA
Rfam family: Bacterial large subunit ribosomal RNA
Source: RNAcentral
AGGUAAGCUACUAAGAGCGAAUGGUGGAUGCCUUGACUGGUAAAGGCGAUGAAGGACGUACUAGACUGCGAUAAGCUACGGGGAGCUGUCAAGAAGCUUUGAUCCGUAGAUUUCCGAAUGGGGCAACCCAAUGUAUAGAGAUAUACAUUACCUAUAUAGGAGCGAACGAGGGGAAUUGAAACAUCUUAGUACCCUCAGGAAAAGAAAUCAAUAGAGAUUGCGUCAGUAGCGGCGAGCGAAAGCGCAAGAGGGCAAACCCAGUGCUUGCACUGGGGGUUGUAGGACUGCAAUGUGCAAGAGGUGAGUUUAGCAGAACAUUCUGGAAAGUAUAGCCAUAGAGGGUGAUAGUCCCGUAUGCGAAAAACAAACCUUAGCUAGCAGUAUCCUGAGUAGGGCGGGACACGAGAAAUCCUGUCUGAAGCUGGGUCGACCACGAUCCAACCCUAAAUACUAAUACCAGAUCGAUAGUGCACAAGUACCGUGAGGGAAAGGUGAAAAGAACUGAGGUGAUCAGAGUGAAAUAGAACCUGAAACCAUUUGCUUACAAUCAUUCAGAGCCCUAUGUAGCAAUACAGGGUGAUGGACUGCCUUUUGCAUAAUGAGCCUGCGAGUUGUGGUGUCUGGCAAGGUUAAGCAAACGCGAAGCCGUAGCGAAAGCGAGUCUGAAUAGGGCGCUUAGUCAGAUGCUGCAGACCCGAAACGAAGUGAUCUAUCCAUGAGCAAGUUGAAGCUAGUGUAAGAACUAGUGGAGGACUGAACCCAUAGGCGUUGAAAAGCCCCGGGAUGACUUGUGGAUAGGGGUGAAAGGCCAAUCAAACUUCGUGAUAGCUGGUUCUCUCCGAAAUAUAUUUAGGUAUAGCGUUGUGUCGUAAUAUAAGGGGGUAGAGCACUGAAUGGGCUAGGGCAUACACCAAUGUACCAAACCCUAUCAAACUCCGAAUACCUUAUAUGUAAUCACAGCAGUCAGGCGGCGAGUGAUAAAAUCCGUCGUCAAGAGGGAAACAACCCAGACUACCAGCUAAGGUCCCUAAAUCUUACUUAAGUGGAAAACGAUGUGAAGUUACUUAAACAACCAGGAGGUUGGCUUAGAAGCAGCCAUCCUUUAAAGAAAGCGUAAUAGCUCACUGGUCUAGUGAUUUUGCGCGGAAAAUAUAACGGGGCUAAAGUAAGUACCGAAGCUGUAGACUUGCGCACAACUUAGAUUAUUUAAGUUUAGAAUAUGAGAAACUAAGUUAUAUGUUUAGUUAUAUUUUUACUGAUUUUUAUAGAGUAAAGAUAGAAAUAAAACUUAGUAAAAUCAGUAAAAAUAUUCUUAGACUAAAGUUAAGUAGUUUAAGUUGUGUGCAAGUGGUAGGAGAGCGUUCUAUUUGCGUCGAAGGUAUACCGGUAAGGAGUGCUGGAGCGAAUAGAAGUGAGCAUGCAGGCAUGAGUAGCGAUAAUUAAUGUGAGAAUCAUUAACGCCGUAAACCCAAGGUUUCCUACGCGAUGCUCGUCAUCGUAGGGUUAGUCGGGUCCUAAGUCGAGUCCGAAAGGGGUAGACGAUGGCAAAUUGGUUAAUAUUCCAAUACCAACAUUAGUGUGCGAUGGAAGGACGCUUAGGGCUAAGGGGGCUAGCGGAUGGAAGUGCUAGUCUAAGGUCGUAGGAGGUUAUACAGGCAAAUCCGUAUAACAAUACUCCGAGAACUGAAAGGCUUUUUGAAGUCUUCGGAUGGAUAGAAGAACCCCUGAUGCCGUCGAGCCAAGAAAAGUUUCUAAGUUUAGCUAAUGUUGCCCGUACCGUAAACCGACACAGGUGGGUGGGAUGAGUAUUCUAAGGCGCGUGGAAGAACUCUCUUUAAGGAACUCUGCAAAAUAGCACCGUAUCUUCGGUAUAAGGUGUGGUUCGCUUCGUAUUAGGAUUUACUCCGAAAGC